CGAAUAUCGAGAGAAACCGAGCGGUGUUCUUCGUGUUCUUCAUAAUCAAACGAAGAUUUGAAGGUGUUAUUGGAAUCCGAUGGAGGCGUAUAAAUAGUCAAAACGAAGCUAUCGACGCGUAGAAUCAAGUUUAAUCAUCCGUUUAUAUGCAGAUUCAACAGGUGAUUUUAGAUUAUUUUUCUAAAAUUCGAGUUUAUAUGAUUUAAAUGAUGAAUUUUUGCAAACGAUUCCGUUUAUGUGAUUUGAUGAUUCUAUGAUGUAGAGCAUGUUUUUCUCGUCGUUUUGGUAUAUUAUAUGUCAAAAACGGAGUUCAAUAACAUGUAGAAAAGUCAGUUUGAUUAUUGAAAUUGUGUUCUUGGUGUUCUUGAGCUUGUUGCCGGAAAAGUUUGAAUUUUGGCCGGAAAAUGGGUUCCGCUAAAUCUGGGCAGUAGUGGUAUAUAUGAAUAGAAAGAGGAGAGAAAGGGGAGUAUGCUGGUGUGCUUGGUUUGAGCGGAGGUGGCUCGAAUCGCCGCCAUCGGCGGCGGGAAGUCGCCGACUUCGGCCGGAUUUUCCGGCGAAUUCGCGCGACUUCUGCCUAAUUAAAGAUGGGGGAUUGAUUUAUGGGUGUGUGUACUACUGAUCUGGAGUAGAUGGUGAGUGGAGGACGCCUGGAAACGAAUUUCCGGCGAGUUAGUGUGGUGGCCGGCGGCUUAUUGCUGUUUGGUCACCGAAGUUUUGAAGAUGAUGAAGUUUUUGUACUCAGGUUUUGAAACUUAUGAAUUACCCCCUGUAACUUUGAAAAGUUACACUUUAAACCCUGGACAAAACUUUCAAAAGUUUACAAAAUAAACCUUUUGAUUUAAUUUUCUAAAAUUGUUUUAUUUAAUUAUUUUAAAUUCCAAAAAUAGUUUUUAAUUAUUUCUUUAUUCAAAAAUAAAUCUAAAUUAGUUUAUUAAUUAAUUUUAAUUAGUAAUUAAUUAUUUUAAUUGGUCAAUUAAUUUAAAUAUUAAUUGAUUAAUUAUUUUAAUUAAUUAUUAAUUGAUUUUAAUUGAUUAAUUAAUUGGAUUUAAUUAAUCCUUUUUGAUUUAAAAAUUCCGAAAAAUAGUUUCGAGCUUUAAAAUAUUUUUCCAAAUUAUUUUCAAGGCUCGAUAAUUGUUUAUGAAUGAUUUCAAGUCCAAUUUCAAGUAUUUGGGACUUGAUUAUUUAUUCGAAAAGUGAUUCUUUUAUCGAUUUUAAUUCCGAAAAAUGUUUAAAAAUUCUGGAAAAUUCCCGAAAAAUCAUUUUUAACCCAAGACUUGAUUUAAUAUCAAUUGGGAUGGGAAACCUUAUGUGUUGUGUGUUGUCUGCUAUUGGUUGGAUGUGUUAUGUGCCGAUAGGAGAGUGAGAAAACUGUUUUGAGCAUAACUUUUGAUCCGUAAGUCGGAAUCAAGUGAAACGAAAGAGAGACAGAAGCUUAUAACGUCUAUUUUAAUAUGAUGUGACUAUAUGGCUGAGUCUAUAAGGUGAAUAAUUGUUGAUAAGUAUGCAUAAUGUGAUAAUAUGUGAUCUAAGUGCUAUCAGGUGAUGAUUAUGUGAAGUACGUGUUAGUUUUGAUAUUGUGAAGUGAUAAAUGAUUCGUAUGAUUGAUAUUGGAUAAGAAUAUAUGGAUUAUAGCUAUUGGAUUUUGUUGGUUGAUUAAUGAUUGAGAUAGGAUAAUAGGUGGAUAGUCUUAUACAUAGACGAGACGAUGUCGGAUUUUCGAUAAGGAUUUAUAUGAUAAUUGAUUGGUGAUAUGUUAUGUGGAAUAUGAUUGACUAUAUGUUAGAGUUAAAGCAUGCUUAUGUGUUACGUGGUAUCUGAUAAGUUUAAAGGGAUAUAUAAGUGGGUAUUGAUAUACGUGAGAUGUAUAUGCGAUCGAUUGUUUAGUGAUUAUAGUGUUAUCUUAUUCUCGUAAAGGAUUUGGACGAGACGUGUAUGCCCGAAGACGUUCAGAAAGUCACGUGGUGUUACAAAGCGAAUAAGGGAUGAAUCGAGUAAGCGAAGCGAAGAUGUACGGUAGAUAGAGUAUAGCCAGAGAUGGUCUAGAGACUAUGAGAUGCAUAGAUUGUGAAAGUGGAAAGAUGAGAUUGAGAUGUGAGACUGGAGUCAGAUUUAAGGCAAGUAUCCUAAACCUUUCUCUUGGAUAUAUUGCAAAUAUUCUGAUCCAUUCCUUUGGUAUAUGUUUCAAGUAUUCAUACCUUUCUUUUCAAUGUUCGAAAGUGCGAGUAUUCUGACCCAUUCUUUCUAAUCUUCAAGUUUCUAAAGAAUUUCCGUUUUACAAAUUAAUUCGAAGUUCAGAUUGUCAUUGAAGCAUGUGUUGCUCAGUGAUAGUUAGAGCUUUGAAUGAAUUGGGAUCUUCUUGAUUAUUCAACCCGCCAUUGUCAUGCUGGUUUAGCAGGCUAAAUUCAGUUGCUUAGCCGAUAAUGGAGGAUACUGAAUAGUUGAGGAUUUCCUGAACUGUGAUUUAUGAAAUGAUGGAUCAUGAUUUAUGAAUAGAUUAUUAUCAAAGUUUGAAUUGGAAUUAUUCUGUUGUUGAUGAUAUUUAUGAUGAUGUUCUGUUAAUUUACAUUGGCUUCUUGAAUUGAAUUAGAGAAUUGGAUUAUUGUUUUUAUAUAAACCUGUGGACCAGAUUCGUGGUCAUGUUAGGCCAAUGAGUGCCUUGGAUCCAGUGAUAGAGCAUGGCGGGGCCUGCUCGGGGUUAGUGCGGAACUGAUCAGCUGCCUAACCUUGGUUUUAAUUAAAAUGUGAUAGUCCAAUUCAAUAAUUCUUUGGAAAGAUUGAAUUUCUCAGUUUAAAUGCUGCAAGGUAUUGUAAAUCAUUCUAUACAAUACCAUGAACUCAUGAACUCAGGUUGAAUCCUCUUAUAUCUUGAACUCGUGAUCUUCUGUUAUAUCAUUUCAGAACUAUCAUUGUUUAUUAUUACUUGCUGAGCAUUGUUGCUCACCCUUGCUAUUCCUUUCUAACCAUUUCAGAAAGGCUUAAAGAUGAGAUGAUUGAUUGAGAUUGUGAAUAAGGCUAAUGCUAGGCGAGGAGACAGAGUUGAGAAUCCAGUGGUCGAGGAGUGUUCAGGAAAGUUGAUGAGGUUGGUGCAAGCUAGAGUUGAGCUAUGGAAAUUCAGAUGUAAGUCAUAGCUGGAAUAGAUUGACAGUGAUUCUUCUUAUCGAAGAUGAUCUGAUUUGGUAAGAGAUGUUGUGUAAUAAUAGUGGUUGAUUCUAAUUUCAAUACUGUAACCUGGAAGCGAUCCUGUUGGUUUGGGGGUGAAGAUGUUCUCUUUUAAAUCUUUUAUUUAACGUCUUUCAAAUCUUUUAUUAAAUGUUUUCAAGUUUUAAAUUAUUUGGAUUCAUUAUCUUUUAAAAAAAAAAUAAAAAAAUACAGGAUUUCAAAAGUGUUUAAAAAUGGGUUUUUAUGUGGUGACGUCAGAAUCCAGACCCCCGGAUUCUCGGACCGUCACAGUUGGUAUCAGAGCAACAGGUUACAAGUUAUUGAAAUUUGAAUAUAGAUUAUAGUCUUAAGUUUUCUAGAGAAGAAUGUGGGUGACCUCGUAUAGAGGUAUUGUGAGACUAUUUAGAAAUAGUCUAGAGAUGUGAUAGAGGUAUAGAAUCUGGUUAGACGAUCAAGUUGAGUGUAUAGGUUUAGAGAGAUUUUGAUUCUUAAGUCUAGACACUUGGAUUUCUAGUAUGUUGACUAAUUGAGAUGAUGAAUUGCGUGAAAGGUCAAGAUUAGACCUAGAUAGAAGAGUUUGAUAGUGAAUGAUUGAGUUGAGAAUGGUGAAAAUGCAGAGUUCAGAGUAUUCUGACUAUACUGCAUAGUUGAAAAUGGUCUAUUGUAUUGAUUUGGAUGCAUGGUUCAUAGUAUGUUGACCAUGUCAGAUAUUUGGAAGAGAUAUAUGGUGUUAGUGAGAUAUGAAGAGUUACUGUAAGAUAUGAGUUGUCUUGGAUUAGAAGAAGAGAUUUGUAGAUAGAGGUUGAUAGAUGAGAAGUGCAUGAUAGAGAGUAAGUGAAGUUGAGUCAGGUUAUUAGAAGUGAUAUUUGCGAGUAAGUUAGAACGUUAAUUCUCGACGAUGAUGUUUUAAGUUAAGCGAGACAAGGUGGGCCCAUAACCCACAGGGCGACAAGUCAGAAAAUAGAAGAUACGCUACGUGUUGUGCUAUGGACUUCAAAGGCAACUGGAUGAAACAUGAGAACGUGAACUACUUGGGCCAGACUUAUUAUGAACUAUAACGUCUACGAUGACAUCUUACGAGGCUAUUACGAGUCAACAUCGAUCGAUUAUCGAGAACGUUGAAAAGAAGACAUAUAUCGAACAAUGAUUUAUUGAAGCAGAGCGAAAAUCUGAGAAGACCUUGGCAAUACCUCUCUUCAACUAAGAUUCUUUUGUAUUGUUUUUCUCAUCAGUGAGAUAUUAUCAUGAUAUCUUUUCUACAAAAGUUUUGAUAAAUGAGAUCUUUAAUUUCUCAAAUUCUAAGAUGACAUUGAUAUUGAUUAUUGGUAUGAGUUGGAAAGCAAAGAUGUGUGACAAAGGCGUGUUUAUUAAGAGACAGUGGAAUCCCUUGAUAUUCUUUCAUAUUCUUUGAUAUCCCUUAAUAUUUGUUGAUAUUCUUUGACACUCUUUGAUAUUCCUUGAUAUCUUUUCAAUAUUUCUUAAUAUAUUCCUCGAUAAUCCUUAACAUUCUUUGAUGCUCCUUGAGAUUUCUUGGAUUCUUUCCAUCUGACUGGGAUGAACAACCCUAUGUAUAGGGGACACAAGGUAUACCUGUCUGUGUGAUAGGAGUUGGAUGGGACGCCAUCACUUGUGUGUGUUGUGAUUACAAGAAGGUUAACAACCUUUAGUAGUGUCUAAUAUGGACACGCAACAUUAAGUUCAAUUGAUCUUAUUGAUCUCCCAGUCACUUUUAUAUUCCAAUGUGACCUAUCUUGAAAACAUCUUGUUCCUCCAAAUUUUCCCAAAGAUUGAUUCUUGGGAAAUGAAUUUUGUAAUUGUGAAAGUUUGAUUUUCCUAUUUCUUUGAAGUCAAAGGUAUGCCAAGAUUGAUCAAAAGGCGGAUGACGAUAUGAUAUUACGAAGUGUGUACGUUUUAGUUUUCUUCGGGGGAUUCCGAGGACGGAAUCCUUAUAAGGGGGGUAGAAUGUAAUAUCCCAUAUUAUUAAAUUUAGAUGUGAUUAUUAUAAAUCUAUUUGUCUAAAUAUUAUUGUUGGCUUUAGUUGAAAAGCGAAUUGAUUAUGUGAAUAGUUUUAUAUGAUUAUACUUGUUCUGUGGAUUAAUAUGGAUUUUACAGAUUAUGCGUCCUCCUUCUUUCUCUGAUUCCGAGGACGGAAUCCCUAUAAGGAGGGUAGAUUGUAAUGACCCGGAUUUUUAAAAAUAUUUUUAUUAGUAUUAAAAGUGAUUUUCUUCAAAGAAGGGAAUAAGAUUUAAUAUUUUAUUCCAGUUUAAUGAGUUUUCAAAGUUUUAUAUUUAAACCCCGGGUUAUUGUGUUAUUGAUAAAUAAUUGUAUUUUCAAAACUGAUUUUCAUAUAUUGUUUUGAAAAUUCUGUAUGAAUAUUAUGUGAAUAUAUGUGUUAUGUGAUUAAGUGGUGUUGGUGGAAUUGAUUGUUAAUUAAUUGUGGUUAAUAACGGAUAUUAUAUGAUUAAUACAUGAAUUUUUGUGAAUAUUGUACUAUCUGGUUUAUUUAAUUGACCGCUCAUAUGUGCUCGGAUUUGAGAUAUUUCAAUUUCUAUAUGAUCAGGAUAAAAUGUAGUUUAUUUGGAUAUUUUGUAUCGAUUUAUGGAAUGUUAGAUGAUUUUAUAAUCGAUUUACAGAUUUAAUUGCGUAUAUUUGUAUUUAUUUAUUAAUUAUUUGAUCUUUUUGGAAACCGUCCACUCGUGACGGAGCAACGAUUUUAUUUCCGAAAGUUUCGAGAAAACUCACCUUUAGCCUAAUUUGAAUAUUCCGGACAUUUUUCGUGUUUUGACUUUUUCGAUCCGGAGUACGGUUUUCCCCGGAGUCGGUCCGGCGGAGUUUUUCGGGUAUUUUAAUUGUUGAUAAUUAUCCAGUUUGUCUCGAUAAACGUGAAACGAGAUAUUUUGAUUAUUAUAUUCAUCCUUAUCUUGUAAUAAUUGCAAUGGGACCCGCAGACCAAUAAUUGAGUUAAAAAGCCCCGUUUUGAUGAUUAUCUCGAAAACCAGUACCGAUUGGACCCCGCUUUAUUAAUAUAAAGCUAUUAAAUACGUAUUUUCAUGUCAUAAACGAUCCAAAGGGGUACCAAUUAUUUGUAAAUAUAAAUAGACCUUUCUAGAGCUUAUUUUCACCCGUAAAAUCAUUUCACCAGUUUCUUUGCACGAAUACCGAGAGAAACCGAGCGGUGUUCUUCGUGUUCUUCAUAAUCAAACGAGGAUUUGAAGGUGUUAUUGGAAUCCGAUGGAGGCGUAUGAAUAGUCAAAACGAAGCUAUCGACGCGUAGAAUCUAGUUUAAUCAUCCGUUUGUGUGCAGAUUCAACAGGUGAUUUUAGAUUAUUUUUAUAAAAUUCGAAUUAUUUGAUUUUUAAUUGAUAAAUUUUUGUAACUGAUCUUGUUUGAUUGAUUUGAUGAUGCCAUGUUGUAGAGCGUGUUUUUCUCGUCGUUUUGGUAUAUUAUAUGUUGAAUUUGGAGUUCGGAAUCAUAUAGAAACGUUAGGUUGAUUCUGAGAUUGUAUGUGCUUGAAUGUUCUUCGUUUGUUCUUGAAGCUUUUAAUUGAAAAUUCGAUUUCUGAGUUCGGUUAAGUCUAGGUGAGUUUUGAUGAUUGGAACAUGUUCGGUGGGUUGUGUAGAAUCGAUUGGUGUGAUCGGUUUUGAUGGAGGAGGUUUGUAGCAGCCUCGCCGGAGUUGAAGAACUUGGCGGCGGCGUGAUUUUUGUUUCGAAAAUACGGCCAAAUGGUCGUGCUUUUGAGCAAAUUGAUCUGUUCAUCAGCUUCCUGGUGGCUUAAGCUUGAGUUCUGGGUGAUUUGGGUAAAGAACGGAGGUGGAAGACGCCGUUUCCGGCGAAGUCGGGGGGAAGGCGGUGCAAAAGUGCCGUUUAGUACCCCCAACUUUUGGAAACGGUGAAGUCUUCGUACCCGAGUUUCAUAUUAAACGUUUUCGACCCUGAAACUUUUGAAUUUGACACAUUGCACCCCGAGUGCAAACUUUUAGAUUUUUACAGUUUAAACCUUUUACAAAAUAUUUUCAAAAAUGUUUUUAUUUAAUUAUUUUAAAUUUCAAAAAUAGUUUUUAAUUAUUUCUUUAUUCAAAAAUAAAUCUAAAUUAGUUUGUUAAUUAAUUUUAAUUAGUAAUUAAUUAUUUUAAUUAGUCAAUUAAUUUAAAUAUUAAUUGAUUAAUUAUUUUAAUUAAUUAUUAAUUGAUUUUAAUUGAUUAAUUAAUUGGAUUUAAUUAAUCCUUUUUGAUUUAAAAAUUCCGAAAAAUAGUUUCGAGCUUUAAAAUAUUUUUCCAAAUUAUUUUCAAGGCUCGAUAAUUGUUUAUGAAUGAUUUCAAGUCCAAUUUCAAGUAUUUGGGACUUGAUUAUUUAUUCGAAAAGUGAUUCUUUUAUCGAUUUUAAUUCCGAAAAAUGUGUGAAAAUUCUGGAAAAUUCCCGAAAAAUCAUUUUUAACCCAAGACUUGAUUUAAUAUCAAUUGGGAUGAGAAACCUUGUGUGUUGUGUGUUGUCUGCCAUUGGUUGGACGUGUUAUGUGCCGAUAGGAGAGUGAGAAAACUGUUUUGGUCAUAACUUUUGAUCCGUAAGUCGGAAUCAAGUGAAACGAAAGAGAGAGGAAAGCUUAUAAAGCCUAGUUUAAUAUAAUGAGAUAGUAUGAUCGAGUUUAGAAUGUGGUUAUAUGUUAUGUAAUAUGCAAUAUGUGUCAAUAUGUGACUUAUUUGCUAUAAAUUGAUGAUUACGUGAUAUACGUGCUUAUUCAUGAUAAAUGAUUUAUAUGACUGAUAUUGGAUAAGAACAUAUGGAUUAUAAGAAUUGGAAUUGAUUGAUGGGUUGUUGAACAAAAUAGGAUAACAGGUGGAUAGUCUUAUACAUAGACGAGACGCUGUCAAGUUAUCGAUUGGAUUUAUAUGAUAAUUGAUUUGUGAUAUGUUAUGUGAAAGAUGACUUGACUAUAUGAUAGAGUCAAAGCAUGAUUAUGUGUUAAGUGAUAUCUGAUAGUCGGAUUUUCGAUAAGGAUUUAUAUGAUAAUUGAUUUGUAACAUGUUAUGUGGAAUAUGACUUGACUAUAUGAUAGAGUCAAAGCAUGAUUAUGUGUUAAGUGAUAUCUGAUAGGUUUAAAGGGUUAUAUAAGUGGGUAUCGAUGUACGUGAGAUGUAUAUGCGAUCGAUUGUUUAGUGAUUAUAGUGUUAUCUUAUUCUCGUAAAGGAUUUGGACGAGACGUGUAUGCCCGAAGACGUUCAGAAAGUCACGUGGUGUUACAAAGCGAAUAAGGGAUGAAUCGAGUAAGCGAAGCGAAGUGGCGAAUAGAGUAUAGCUAGAGAUGGUCUAGAGAUUACGAGAUGCAUUGAUUGUGAAAGUUGAAAGAUGAGAUAGAGAUGUGAGACUGGAGUCAGAUUUAAGGCAAGUAUCCUGCACCCUGCUUUUGGAUAUAUUGCAAAUAUUCUGAUUCAUUCUUUUGAUGUGUUGCAAGUAUCCUAAACCUUUCUUUUGGAUAUCUUGCAAUUAUUCUGAUCCAUUCUUUUCGUAUGUGUUGCAAAUAUUCGUUCCUCUCUUUUUCAUAUUUGAAAGUGUAAAUAUUUUAUCCAUCCUUUUCUAAUCUUCAAAAAAAAAAAAAUUCAGAUAAUUCCAGUUUACAAAUUAAUUCGAAGUUCAGAUUGUCAUUGAAGCAUGUGUUGCUCAGUGAUGGUUAGGACCUAGAAUGACUUGGGAUCUUCUUGAUUAUUCAACCCGCCAUUGUCAUGCUGGUUUAGCAGGCUAAAUUCAGUUGCUUAGCCGAUAAUGGAGGAUACUGAAUAGUUAAGGAUUUCCUGAACUAUGAUUUAUGAAAGGAUGGAUCGUGGCUUAUGAAAAGAUGAAUUGAAAAUUAUUCUGUUGUUGAUGAUAUUUAUGAUGAUGUUCUGUUAAUUUACAUUGGCUUCUUGAAUUGAAUUAGAGAAUUGGAUUAUUGUUUUUAUAUAAACCUGUGGACCAGAUUCGUGGUCAUGUUAGGCCAAUGAGUGCCUUGGAUCCAGUGAUAGAGCAUGGCGGGGCCUGCUCGGGGUUAGUGCGGAACUGAUCAGCUGCCUAACCUUGGUUUUAAUUAAAAUGUGAUAGUCCAAUUCAAUAAUUCUUUGGAAAGAUUGAAUUUCUCAGUUUAAAUGCUGCAAGGUAUUGUAAAUCAUUCUAUACAAUACCAUGAACUCAUGAACUCAGGUUGAAUCCUCUUAUAUCUUGAACUCGUGAACUUCUGUUAUAUCAUUUCAGAACUAUCAUUGUUUAUUAUUACUUGCUGAGCAUUGUUGCUCACCCUUGCUAUUCCUUUCUAACCAUUUCAGAAAGGCUUAAAGAUGAGAUGAUUGAUUGAGAUUGUGAAUAAGGCUAAUGCUAGGCGAGGAGACAGAGUUGAGAAUCCAGUGGUCGAGGAGUGUUCAGGAAAGUUGAUGAGGUUGGUGCAAGCUAGAGUUGAGCUAUGGAAAUUCAGAUGUAAGUCAUAGCUGGAAUAGAUUGACAGUGAUUCUUCUUAUCGAAGAUGAUCUGAUUUGGUAAGAGAUGUUGUGUAAUAAUAGUGGUUGAUUCUAAUUUCAAUACUGUAACCUGGAAGCGAUCCUGUUGGUUUGGGGGUGAAGAUGUUCUCUUUUAAAUCUUUUAUUUAACGUCUUUCAAAUCUUUUAUUAAAUGUUUUCAAGUUUUAAAUUAUUUGGAUUCAUUAUCU
RNAcentral lists this long non-coding RNA (9829 nucleotides) under Daucus carota (carrot). Its description in RNAcentral is "long non-coding RNA (DCAR_LNC005517)". Lineage: Eukaryota; Viridiplantae; Streptophyta; Magnoliopsida; Apiales; Apiaceae. The record is from RNAcentral.